UUAAAUUGAAGAGUUUGAUCAUGGCUCAGAUUGAACGCUGGCGGCAGGCCUAACACAUGCAAGUCGAGCGGAAACGACACUAACAAUCCUUCGGG
This 95-nucleotide ribosomal RNA is filed under the name Vibrio crassostreae. RNAcentral's name for it is "partial 16S ribosomal RNA". The record is from RNAcentral. Lineage: Bacteria; Pseudomonadati; Pseudomonadota; Gammaproteobacteria; Vibrionales; Vibrionaceae.